Molecule: ribosomal RNA, 465 nt
Filed under: uncultured bacterium
Lineage: Bacteria
Description: partial 16S ribosomal RNA
Rfam family: Bacterial small subunit ribosomal RNA
Source: RNAcentral
GACGAACGCUGGCGGCGUGCUUAACACAUGCAAGUCGAACGGAAAGGCCCCUUUGUGGGUACUCGAGUGGCGAACGGGCGAGUAACACGUGAGUAACCUGCCCUUGACUUCGGGAUAACUUCAGUAAACUGGGGCGAAUACCGGAUAGGAAUCCUUGCUGCAUGGUGGGUGUUGGAAAGCUUCGGCGGGUUUGGAUGGACUCGCGGCCUAUCAGCUUGUUGGUGGGGUAGUGGCUUACCAAGGCUUUGACGGGUAGCCGGCCUGAGAGGGCGACCGGCCACAUUGGGACUGAGGUACGGCCCAGACUCCUACGGGAGGCAGCCGUGGGGAAUAUUGCACAAUGGGCGGAAGCCUGAUGCAGCAACGCCGCGUGCGGGAUGACGGCCUUCGGGUUGUAAACCGCUUUCAGCAGGGGCGAAGCUUGUGGUGACGGUACCUGCAGAAGAAGCACCGGCUAACUACGUG